UUCUGCUUGGAAGCACGAUGACUCUGUCCAUGGGGGCAUCGCUGCCCACCCAGGGUUGCUUCCCAAGAGCUGCCAUAUGUAUUCAUGCUUCGAUCAUGAAGCUUUAAACAGAUUUAUGUCGUACUUCAUCAAAAAUUGUAGAGGCUUAGCAGACUGAGACGCUUGGGGACUGAAAGUGGGCAAUUCAGAGUUUCUCAUGCAUGUAAGCUGCCUUUUGUUUUGAUCCCUAUCAUUCUUAGUCCGUCUUUUUCAUUAUCCUGCUGGAAAGACUGUCUUGUGUCCUGAGAGAACUCAAGAGAAAAAUGGCAGGGUCCUGAGUGGCCAGGGCCAUAUGCCACUGGUUACUGGAGGUAGGGUGAGAUGCAACCGACACACUUUUGUCAGAACUUUUGGUUGGGAGCAUUACAUUCAGAUUCAGUCUGAUGGGCCUUUCUUGUUUUUGUUUGGUUAGGUUUAAGCCUAGUACAGGUACACCUGAACUUACAGGAAUGUUUAGAAAAAUCGUAGAUCAAUCCAUUUUUAAUAAAUCAA
Molecule: non-coding RNA, 531 nt
Organism: Manis javanica (Malayan pangolin)
Lineage: Eukaryota; Metazoa; Chordata; Mammalia; Pholidota; Manidae
Source: RefSeq, a predicted model, not a curated record